AGAGGAAGUAAAAGUCGUAACAAGGUUUCCGUAGGUGAACCUGCGGAAGGAUCAUUAAUGAUUACGAAUGGUUGCCUUCUGSGCUGGCCAGAAACUGGCAAGUGCACGUCGGUGGCUUUCAUCCAAUACCCUGUGAACCUCUGGCCUCUUGCUAGCUUCGGCCGGCAGAGGAAUUUUACACAAACUCGAAUGUAAUGAAAUAUACUGUCGUGCGCAAGCACUAAUGUACAACUUUCAACAACGGAUCUCUUGGCUCUCGCAUCGAUGAAGAACGCAGYGAAAUGCGAUAAGUAAUGUGAAUUGCAGAAUUCAGUGAAUCAUCGAAUCUUUGAACGCACCUUGCACCCUUUGGCAUUCCGAAGGGUAUGCUCGUUUGAGUGUCAUUGUACUCUCACACUCCCGAUCUUUGGAUUCGGAGCGGUGGACUUGGGUGUUGCUGCUUACCGUGGCUCACCUCAAAUGGAUUCGUGCAUCUCUUGGUUGGACAUAGUACGGCGUGAUAAGUGUCUUCGCCGGCGCCUCAGUAGAGGGUGGCCGAUCGGGAKCUCUGUGCUUCAAACCGUCUUCGGACAACAACUGACAACUUGACCUCAAAUCGAGUAGGACUACCCGCUGAACUUAA
Molecule: ribosomal RNA, 622 nt
Filed under: uncultured Sebacina
Lineage: Eukaryota; Fungi; Basidiomycota; Agaricomycetes; Sebacinales; Sebacinaceae
Description: eukaryotic LSU rRNA
Source: RNAcentral